This 424-nucleotide ribosomal RNA is filed under the name uncultured bacterium. RNAcentral's name for it is "bacterial SSU rRNA". It matches the Rfam family "Bacterial small subunit ribosomal RNA", at positions 356 to 773 of the family's 1533-position model. The record is from RNAcentral.
AGGGAAUCUUCCGCAAUGGGCGAAAGUCUGACGGAGCAACGCCGCGUGAGUGAUGAAGGUUUUCGGAUCGUAAAGCUCUGUUGCCAGGGAAGAACGUCCGUUAGAGUAACUGCUAACGGAGUGACGGUACCUGAGAAGAAAGCCCCGGCUAACUACGUGCCAGCAGCCGCGGUAAUACGUAGGGGGCGAGCGUUGUCCGGAAUUAUUGGGCGUAAAGCGCGCGCAGGCGGCUGUUUAAGUCUGGUGUUUAAUCCUGGGGCUCAACCCCGGGUCGCACUGGAAACUGGACAGCUUGAGUGCAGAAGAGGAGAGUGGAAUUCCACGUGUAGCGGUGAAAUGCGUAGAGAUGUGGAGGAACACCAGUGGCGAAGGCGGCCUGCUGGGCUUUAACUGACGCUGAGGCGCGAAAGCGUGGGGAGCAAAC